GUACUUACGUGGCAGGGAAGAUAACUAUGAUCACAAAGAUGGCUCUCUCAGGAGAGGCUUGUAAAUUGCACUCAGACCAUUCUGACCCCUGUGAUUUCCCCAAACAUGGGAAACCCAGCUGGGUUC
RNAcentral lists this small nuclear RNA (126 nucleotides) under Zalophus californianus (California sea lion). RNAcentral describes it as "U1 spliceosomal RNA (ENSZCAG00015003184.1)". It matches the Rfam family "U1 spliceosomal RNA". From Rfam's summary of the family: U1 is a small nuclear RNA (snRNA) component of the spliceosome (involved in pre-mRNA splicing). Its 5' end forms complementary base pairs with the 5' splice junction, thus defining the 5' donor site of an intron. There are significant differences in sequence and secondary structure between metazoan and yeast U1 snRNAs, the latter being much longer (568 nucleotides as compared to 164 nucleotides in human). Lineage: Eukaryota; Metazoa; Chordata; Mammalia; Carnivora; Otariidae. The record is from RNAcentral.